Mirounga angustirostris (Northern elephant seal) is the source of this 3242-nucleotide long non-coding RNA. RefSeq lists it as uncharacterized. The record is from RefSeq and is a predicted model, not a curated record. The transcript has 3 exons. Lineage: Eukaryota; Metazoa; Chordata; Mammalia; Carnivora; Phocidae.
UGGGAGAGGGAUAAGCAGGCUUCCCGCUGAGCAGGGAGCCAGAUGCAGGGCUCUAUCCCAGGACCCUGGGAUCAUGACCUGAGCCGAAGGCAGACGCUUAACGACUGAGCCACCCAGAUGCCCCUUUCUGACUCAUUUAAAUUGUUUGUUUAGAAGCCAUGGUACUCUGGAUUAAAUCUUUUUCAGUUUCCAUUGGAAUAACCCAAAUAUUUUCCUCCAUUAAAAUGGCAAUAACUGAGAAAAUGCCUCUCUUAAAAGAAGAGGAACUGCCACAAGGAGUUCAUAUUUCUACUUAAGGUGGAGCCCCCUCACACACUUCACACCAGUCACCGUGGUACUUGUGGAUUUGAAGACUGCUUUUCAGGCCUCCAGGCUGCUCCUCAAAGACUGCAAGCACAUUCUCAACCAAAGAUUUUGCCCCUGAUGAGCCUCCUGCUUGUCCUUCUUUGUUCAAAUAUUAAUUUGCAAUGAGGCCUUCCCUGAAGACUUGAUUUGAAAUGACAUUGCCUCUUCUCUUCCCUGCUGACUUCUUCUCCAUAGCACUUACCAUCAAUAGAUCCACCACAUUAUUGACUUAGUGAUGUUGAUGAUCAUGUCUUUCUACUAAAUGUGCCAGCAUUUUGAGGGCAGAGAUGUGCUUUAUUAUGUGUUAUUUCUACAGCACAGAAUAUUGUCUGCACACAGAGGGUCCUUGACUAUUAAACUAGCUAUCUUUUAUGAAGUCCUUAUCUUUAUUAUUUUUUUUUCUUAUUUGGGGGUCUAAUUUUUUUUUUCAGUGACUUUCUUUGGGUUUCCUUUCCUUCUGUUUUUCUGACUUCUUGGGCUUUAAUUACGUCUGUUACAUCAAGUACAUUAACUGAAUUGUCAAAAUGUUUCCUAUCCAUAUUCCCAAGGAGUACUGGUAGGACACUUUAUAGAAUGCCCUCCACUGGAAUUCGUCUGAUGUUUUCCUUAUAAUCAGACUGGAGAGUGAUACACCACAUACUUGAGGAGGAAGAUCUAUACACAAUUUUUUGGAAUUUUUCUGCACAGGGUAUUGAUCUCUCCUUCUCCAUACUUAUUCAAUAACUUACUUAUAUGGGUAAGGACUCAUGGAUAUUUAUUUUAUACUUUCGACUAGAAUAUUACACUGCAUUAUUUAUUGAGCUGCUCAAAUAUUCCAGCUUUGGCCGUUGGGAGUUCUUUCAGUUGACUCCUGGUGCCCCUUUGACAUACACCCAAAAAUGUGAGUUUACAUUUUUGUUGUUGUUGUUGUUGAGUACUUACUUCUGGCACAAGUUGCUUCAGGCAUAUUUUGUAUAUUCCCUGCUUCAGCCAUAAAAUCAGUCAUUUAUCUGAAGAGUCCUGGUUUCUUUUAGUGGAGAAUAAUAGUACAGUAAAUAUCUGGACACUGAAUGUGUUCAUACAAAUGGGGUAUGGUUCCUUCUAGGCUCUCUCAGCUGAUAUAGUAAGGGGAUAUAUGUGCAUAUACUAUUUCAUGUAUAUAUGUAUAUCUAUAUUUUUUCUAUAUGUGCACAUAUAUACCUAUAUCAAGCUAAACGUAAGUUGAUACUGAUAUAUUCAACUCCAGUCAAGUACCACACUGAUGAUUUUAGUCCCUUGCUUAUCUGUAACCUUGCACUCCAAUAGCAAGGAAACUGACUCUCACCUCUGUCAUUCAUUUACUUUGAUUCUAGUACAUAUAGUAAAAUGGUUCUGCUCUCAAUUUCCAAUGUGUGUGUGGGUUCCCCCAGACCACUAAGUAAUGCUGUAGACACCAGCUAGGUAUCCUAUAAUUUAUCUCAAUCCUAACACUAUCUACCCAGAGAUAGCUUCAGAUCCCACAGGUUAAGGGCUCAGUCCUACAAGAUUAUCCCCUCUUUGACUUCAGACACCAAAUGUAAGUCCAGGUUGUCACCUGUGCUUCUGACCCACCAGCUAUAGAUUGGAGGUUCCAACAAACCCCUCCUUGGGUUUGAUUAAUUUGUUAUAGCAGCUCACAGAACUCAAAAAAACAUUGUACUACUAGGUGGCUGGUUUAUUUUAAAAGAAUAUGAGAGAAAUGCCUAGGGCAAGGUAUGUGGGAAGGUGUGGCGCUUUCAUGCCCUCUCCAGAUACCACUCUUGCAGAAUCUCCACAUGUUCACCAACACAGAAGCUCUACAAACACCAUCCUUUGGGUUUGCACAGAGGCUUCAUUACCUAUACAUGAUUGAUUAAAUCACUGGGCAUUAGUGAUUGAAAUCAAUCUCCAACUCCUCUAGCCUCCCAGGAGGUUGGGCAUGGGAUUGACAGGUCCAACUCUCUAAUCACAUGGCUGGUUGCAAAAAUGGGCACAAAGACCAAAUAUGUUUCUUAUCAUAAAUCACAAUAUCACACAUGGUUAGAGGUUUCAGAAUUGUUAACCUGUAGUCCAGGGGGAAUCAACUUGACCAAGUAGACUGCUUUGUGUACUGUGCCUUUCACCUUUGAUAUUACAGUGUCCAUUUAUUACUAAGUUACUUUUGUCAACCUCUUUUCCUAAACUCCCUUCAGUGAGAAUAUAGCAUAGCAUAGAUUCAUAAUACAGUUAGAUUCUCUAGUCACUGUCUAUAUUCUGUCCUGGGACUCCCCAACCUUCUAAGUGAUUUUUAAAAAUUUGUAUAGAUCAAGGUUCAUUCUCUAUGCUGCAACUUCUAUAGGUUUUAGCAGUUGUAUAUUGUCAUGCAUUUAUCCUCACAUUAUCAUGCAGAGCCAUACAGUAUUAUAUUGUAGAAUAUCAUGCAGAUGUUAUGCAGAUAUAUGUGUUUUCUAAGUAUUUUCUCCCAAGGAGUUACUUGUCUUUCUUUAGCAUCAUUUUUUACAGAGCAUUAAGUUUUAAUUUUAAUAAAGUACAACCUAUCUAUUUAUUAUUUCAUGAAUCAUGCUCUUAGAGUUUUAUCUAAAAAACUCGUUACAAAACCCAAAGUCACAUAGAUAUUUUUCCUAUGUUUUAUUCAAGAUAUUUUAUACUUUUGCAUUUUACUUUUAGGUCUAUGAUCCAUUUUGAUUCUAUUUUUGCAUAAAAUUUCAGGUCUGGUCUAGGUUUAUUUUACUGGUGUUUGUUUCUAGUUUUCUGUAUAUAGAUCCCAUAUAUAUUUUGCUAGAUUUGUUCUUGAGUAUUUUUUUUUGCAUUACUGUAAAAAAUACUGUUUGCUUGAUUUCAAAGUCCAGUUGUUUAAAAUUGGUAUAUGGGGAAGUUAUUAAAUUUUGUAUAUUGACCUUAUAUCCUACAAUUUUGCUAUA